CUCAUGGAGGGUUAUCCCAAAAAAAUUGAAAACAAAAAAAAAAGUAGUUUUAAUACAUUGCAUUUUCAGGGAUCUGAUUCCCACUAUCUGAAGCCAGAUUUGGGCUAGAUUUGCAGUGUACAAGUUCAUUGGGUGUGAACGCAUUGUAUAGAAAAGUUGUCCUGUCUUUAGCUAUAAAACAAGGAAUAUACGCAGUUUAAUACAAUACUGUGUUCCAUACGUAUUUCUUCUCAAU
Molecule: unclassified non-coding RNA, 235 nt
Filed under: Hevea brasiliensis (rubber tree)
Lineage: Eukaryota; Viridiplantae; Streptophyta; Magnoliopsida; Malpighiales; Euphorbiaceae
Source: RNAcentral